UUCUAUCAAGAUUCAGGGCCAGCUGAAUUGCAACAUGUCCCUCUAACCUGCUAAAAUUCACAAAGCUUAUCACAAGGUCAAGAAUGAUGGCCGAGCCCGGAAACAUGGCUGUGACUUGAAGAGAGGCUUGCCAAUCAAAUGUUGUUGUGCUGAACUGUCUGAAGAUGAUUGCUACUUAAGACUUUCUGAAAUGGGUCUCCAUUUCGACAUGAUCAGCUGCAAGCUUCUGAACAAGACCCCUCAGUGAGCACAGGACCACACAUCUGUCAAUCACACCUUCAGUCCAGCUGCUACGGCUCUCUUCUGGUACUUCUGAUGAAGUAGAAGCCCCGCAACUGUUCUCAGCAGCAGGAGGCAAGGCUGUCAUCUGUCUGCCCUCCUGGUAGCCCCAUGGGACUGUUGCUGAUAUGAGUGGUUGCUCUCUCAAGAUGUAAGAUCUCAGCUAUUGUCCCAGCACCAUGCCUGCCUGCCUGUUGCUGCCAUGCUUCCAGCUAUGAUGAUCAUGGAUUCGAACCUUCUGAAACUGCAAGACCGAUAAGUGGAUGGAAAUAGACGGAGCUGCUGCACUGGUCUCCCUCCCUCCAAGGCUGUGGCUAAAGGAAGAGAAGACGACUGUGGAUUUGGAAUCUGGACACCAGGGCUCACCGCAGAACAUAUCACUACAGCGCACAGAAAUUUAUGCGUAUGGGCAUUUUGCCUGCAUGUAUAUGC
Molecule: long non-coding RNA, 711 nt
Organism: Mus caroli (Ryukyu mouse)
Lineage: Eukaryota; Metazoa; Chordata; Mammalia; Rodentia; Muridae
Source: RefSeq, a predicted model, not a curated record